Vitis vinifera (wine grape) is the source of this 4407-nucleotide RNA transcript. It is a transcript of the gene named probable disease resistance protein At1g61310, with no coding region annotated. The record is from RefSeq and is a predicted model, not a curated record. NCBI's taxonomy places the organism in Eukaryota, Viridiplantae, Streptophyta, Magnoliopsida, Vitales, Vitaceae. The transcript is spliced from 3 exons.
UGGUGAGUAGUGGAGUACUCGUUACUUUGCAUUAUUGAAGUAAUGUGGGACAGGAGAAUGGUAGUGGCCUUAUCUCUUUCGCCACCAUUAAUCAAGAUUGUGGGCCACUAAUCACCAUUAUCAGAUGUCAUUGCACAGCACAACGCCUUCCAAAGGAUUGCAUAUUCAGCUCCAUUAAUAACCAAUAGCCUCCCUUGAUCAAUCACUUCAAAGGGAUGAGGAGCAGUCUGAUAUAUUGAAAUGCUAAAGCCCAGACGAAUCAGAUCCAUAAUGUGAUCAGGGACUCAAAAUAAGAAACACUCUGGAAUCUUGACAUCAAACUUUUUUUUCGUUUUGGAAAGUAAAGUCCACACUGCGAAUUGGAAUUCCUUCAUCAGGGAGAUUGAUCUGUUUUUGACAACCACAAGUGAAGAGCUAAAACUCUGACUAAUUAAUCACACCCAGAAUGUGACCAGGGACUCAUAACAGGAAACACUAUGGGAUCUUGAUAUGAAACUUCCUUGUCUUUUCAGAAAGUAAAGUCGACACUCUGAAAAGAAAAUGAUAUUGCGUGGAAAAGCAGCCUUUGAAUAAAAUUAUUGAAGUUAUGUCGGAGGUGGGGUCAGGGGUGUCCUCCAACAGUGUAACUAGCAAUAAUGCGAUCACCCAUAUUGGAAUUCCUUAAUCGGAGAGAUUGAACUGUUUUCGACAACCACAAGUCUUCUCUGCUCUCCCACUUUCUCUUCUUUUCUUGAAUCUCACCUCUUGUUUCUUUCAUCUCUCAAGGCAAGGAAUGGAUUGUGUGAGCCCAAUCUUGGAUGUUGUAACUCGCGUAUGGAACUGCACAGCCAAGCAUGCAGUCUACAUCAGGGAUCUGCAGGAAAAUAUGGAGUCUUUAAGAAACGCAAUGCAGGAGCUGAAGAAUGUAUAUGAAGAUGUGAAGGGAAGAGUUGAACUUGAAGAGCAACGGCAAAUGAAGCGCACAAAUGAAGUGGACGGCUGGUUCCAUAGCGUCCUAGCCAUGGAACUAGAAGUCAACGAGAUCCUGGAGAAAGGCGAUCAUGAAAUCCAGAAGAAAUGCCCUGAAACUUGUUGCCCCCGAAACUGCCGGUCCAGCUACAAGCUCGGGAAGAAAGCGAGUAAAAAGCUGGGUGCUGUGACUGAAUUAAGGAGCAAGGGACGCUUUGAUGUUGUGGCUGAUGGGUUACCUCAAGCUCCGGUGGAUGAGAGGCCGAUGGAGAAGACUGUGGGCUUAGAUCUGAUGUUUACAGAGGUUUGCAGAUGCAUCCAAGAUGAGGAGCUGGGAAUUAUUGGGUUGUACGGAAUGGGGGGUGCCGGGAAAACUACCAUCAUGACCAAAAUCAAUAAUGAGUACUUCAAAACAUGCAAUGACUUUGAAGUGGCCAUUUGGGUCGUAGUAUCCAGGCCAGCAAGUGUGGAAAAAGUACAAGAAGUCAUUCGCAACAAGUUAGACAUCCCGGAUAAUAGAUGGAGAAACAGAACUGAGGAUGAAAAAGCAAUAGCAAUUUUCAAUGUCUUGAAGGCAAAAAGGUUUGUGAUGCUGCUAGAUGAUGUAUGGGAGCGGCUUGAUCUCCAAAAAGUGGGGGUUCCUUAUCCUAAUUCCCAAAACAAGUCCAAAGUAAUAUUAACAACCCGUUCUCUGGAUGUUUGUCGCGAUAUGGAAGCUCAAAAAAGCAUUAAGGUUGAGUGUUUGACAGAAGAGGAGGCCAUCAAUUUGUUCAAGGAGAAGGUUGGAGAGACCACUCUAAAUUCACAUCCAGAUAUACCCCAGUUUGCCGAAAUUGCUGCUAAAGAGUGCAAAGGUUUACCACUUGCACUCAUCACUAUUGGGAGAGCUAUGGUCGGCAAGAGCACACCACAAGAAUGGGAGCGAGCCAUACAAAUGUUGAAGACUUAUCCAUCAAAGUUUUCAGGUUUGGGAGAUCAUGUAUUUCCGAUUCUAAAAUUCAGUUAUGAUAACUUGAAAAAUGACACCAUCAAGUCUUGUUUUCUAUAUCUUGCUAUAUUUCAAGAGGAUUAUGAAAUCAUGAAUGAUGAUCUUAUAAACCUUUGGAUUGGAGAGGGGUUUUUCGAUGAAUUUGACAACAUACAUGAAGCACAGAACCAGGGGCGCAACAUCAUUGAGCAUCUAAAGGUAGUGUGUCUAUUUGAGAGUGUUAAAGACAAUCAAGUCAAGAUGCAUGAUGUUAUUCGUGAUAUGGCUUUAUGGUUAGCUUCAGAAUAUAGUGGCAACAAGAACAAAAUUUUGGUAGUAGAAGAUGAUACCUUGGAAGCCCAUCAAGUUUCAAAUUGGCAAGAGACGCAACAGAUAUCAUUGUGGAGUAAUAGCAUGAAAUACCUCAUGGUGCCAACAACUUAUCCCAAUCUCUUAACCUUCGUUGUUAAGAAUGUGAAAGUAGAUCCAAGUGGAUUCUUUCAUCUCAUGCUGCCGGCAAUAAAAGUUUUGGAUUUGUCACACACUUCCAUAAGUCGGUUACCUGAUGGGUUUGGCAAAUUAGUUACCUUACAAUAUCUCAAUUUGUCAAAAACAAACCUAAGCCAAUUAUCCAUGGAGCUCAAGUCUUUGACAAGUCUAAGGUGUCUACUAUUGGAUUGGAUGGCAUGUCUUAAGAUAAUUCCCAAGGAAGUAGUAUUAAAUCUCUCAUCAUUGAAAUUAUUUAGCUUAAGAAGAGUUCAUGAAUGGAAGGAAGAGGAAGCCCAUUAUUCAUUCAACCUGGAGGAUGCUAAUGAUUCAUGGGAGAAUAAUAAAGUUGAUUUUGAUAAUAAAGCAUUCUUUGAGGAGUUGAAAGCUUAUUAUUUAUCAAAGGAUUGUCAUGCUUUAUUCGAGGAGUUGGAAGCCAAGGAUUAUGAUUAUAAACCUAGGUAUUUAUGGGAGGAUGAAAACAGAGCAUUAUUAGAGGAGAUGGAAUCCUUGGUACACAUAAAUGAGGUCUCUUUUCCCAUAGAAGGUGCUCCAUCUUUCCAAAUAUUAUUGAGCUCCCAAAAGCUACAGAAUGCCAUGAAGUGGUUAACCCUUGGGAACCUGGAGUGUGUGGCCUUACUCCACUUGCCAAGAAUGAAACAUCUACAGACGCUUGAAAUACGGAUAUGUCGAGAUUUGGAAGAGAUAAAAGUAGAUCCAACACAAGAGAGGAGACGGGGAUUUGUGGUAGAUUAUAUCCCAGGCUCAAACUUCCACAGCCUUUGUAAUAUAAUUAUUUAUCAACUCCCAAACUUGUUAAACUUGACAUGGCUUAUUUACAUCCCAAGCGUUGAAGUUCUUGAAGUAACUGACUGUUAUUCCAUGAAAGAAGUGAUCCGAGAUGAGACUGGAGUUUCACAAAAUCUGAGCAUAUUCUCAAGACUCAGGGUACUCAAAUUGGAUUAUCUACCUAAUCUAAAGAGCAUCUGUGGACGGGCCUUGCCAUUCACUUCCCUGACAGACCUCUCGGUGGAACAUUGCCCAUUCCUAAGGAAGCUGCCGUUGGAUUCCAACAGUGACACCUACAGCUUGAAGACAAUUAAAGGAAGAAGAUGGUGGUGGGAUAGGCUGCAGUGGGAGAAUGAAACCAUUAAGAACACUUUCAAUCACUACUUCCAAGAUUAACCUUUCUCUUCCAUGAUCUUAUAGGAAUCCAGGGAUCAAUUAUCAGAGUGUACCAGUAUACUAACUAGUCUUAAUCUUCAUACCACUACCUGUAGUUCCCCCUAGUGCCAGGAGUUGAAAGGUAAGAAGUAUAUUUUUAUCCCUUUCCUUUAUACCGAAUGCUAAUUCCUUCUAAGCAGUCUUAAGUGCCUUUUUAGGGGUCUAAGGGCGUGGGUGUAAGCGAGUAUGAAGUCAAAGCCUUGAACCGGAAGUACUCUCCUUCUUAAUGAGUAUCCGAUAAGGUUUCAUGGAUUUUAGUGCGGUGGGUUUUAGGAUGUUUGCCAUAUGUUGAUUUCAAAGGUUAUCGUAUUUUGCAAUUAAUAGAUAUCACGUUUAAAAUAACUGGAAAUUUGUGUGAUUGAUAUUGGAACAUAAUCUGCAACUGUGGUUUGACAGCUCAAUUUAAGACAUCUUGGACGUUUGCUAAUAAUCGAAGAAGAUCAUGUGGUUGUCCUAAAUGGAAGACUAGCUUUUCAUGUGGCUUCUUUGGAUGGUGUGAUCCGAAACUAUGCUUCCAUGGAAGACGAGUAGUGUUACAAAAUUACAAAUACAUAAGAAGUUGUCCAGCUUAGAGAUUGAGGUUGCUAAAGAAAGACUUAAAUACGUUCUUCUAUACACUUGUUGUAUCAUGGAUAUUAAUUGAGUUUUGUAUUUUCUCUGUAAUUUCUCCUUAUGCUCGUCCUGUUUUUUAUGAUGAAAGGUGCAACCUGUUUGCCUCCCUAAAAAUGUAAAGAUUUGGUAUCGAUUUAUGACAAAUGUUGAAAAUAAUGUUAUGUUAUGGA